UGGUUAUGGAGGUGUUGUUAUCUUCAGGAUAGGGUACAGUGAAAAGAUGGUCUUCUCUUGGUCCGGUGUUUGCAUGCAAAGCUCUGGAGAUACAUAUAUAUAUAUAUAUUUAUGUUAUAUGUAUAUAUAAUGAGACUUCCAUACCAUACAAAAAAGGUCUGCCAAGUUAGGAUAUGAUACUUAAGCAGUUGUACCAGCCCAUGUGCUGACUCUUCUCGCAGAGAAAAGAAAUACAUCAGGAACUCGUUUGCCACCAAAAUCCACAGAACUCAGGAUUUAUACCUGAAAGGGCUUCUUGUCUUAUCACCCGUUCUCCGCUACCAUACGUAGGCAAACACUAAGAAAGGACAGCAGUGAAUAACCUUCCUUUCAUUGGGGUUGCAGACCUCUUCUGUCUAAUUUCACUCAUGGAGCACAAUAGCUGAAGAAGUUUAUUUGAUGUUUUUUGAGGAUGGUGUUUAGGGCACGGCUUUCUGUAAAGUUUGCUCUGCAGAACAGGUCACGGACACUUCAUAGAGCUGGGGACAGAGCAAAGCCCAAGGAACCACCUUAGCACAGGUUUUAAAUGUUAAUUACUUGACUGAAGCGAGUAACCUUUAAAUCAUAUUUUUAAAUUUUAGGAUAUCUCAAGAGCUGUAAAACAUUCAAAUAAGAAAUUCAUUAAAAUUGACAAGCCCCCUGUAUGCCAAAAACUACUACAGAAAGGAAAGAGGUAUAGAUUAGUUUGUGAGCCAGAAGCUGAAAUAACUCCAGAGGAAAUUGAAUUUGUUGAUGGAUCUCUCUUGAAACUAAAAAGUUACAUUGAAGUCUAUUUGGAGAAACCCGAUGACUUCACCUUGUCUUUGGUUGAGCUGGAGUCUGAUGCGACCGUAUGGAAAGCAAAACUACGAGAGAGUGACUGGAUCCAUUACGAUCAGAACAAAAAUGAGCAGAAAAGAAGUGCAGUCGGUGUCAAAAAACGGAAAACAGCACUCAGUAUUUUGGAAGAAGAUGAGCUCUGUAGCAAAAAGCAAAAGACCGGCAAUACUGCAGGUAGAGCAUUUCUGUGUCAUUUAAAAUAAUGGGUUUGAGUUGUUUUGUGGUGGUUGUUUUUUCAUGUCCUGUGAAUUGAACCAGAGCUCACUUUCUUAAAGGGCAUGAGGAUAUAGGAGGGGAAAGCGCUGCUUUUGUAGAUAGGGGAUUUGUACCUGCCUUCGUAUGUUUUGGUACACUUUCAUUCAUUCGGUAAAUAAAGGGGAAGAAGCAGCCA
RNAcentral lists this long non-coding RNA (1249 nucleotides) under Calidris pygmaea (Spoon-billed sandpiper). Its description in RNAcentral is "lncRNA (ENSCPGG00000002812.1)". Lineage: Eukaryota; Metazoa; Chordata; Aves; Charadriiformes; Scolopacidae. The record is from RNAcentral.